UUAAUAUAAAAAUUAUCUUUAAAUUAUUUAUAAAUUUGGACUAUUUUUUCAAUUCACUAGUACAUCAUUUUUAUUUUUUUCUAUCUAAGUUUAAUUGUUGUAGUCUUUAUUGAAGUUAAAUUCUAUGUUAUCAAACUCAAAUUAGUAAUUGGUGUAAAAUUCCUUGGAAUAAAAAAUUUAUCUACAACUUAUCAACUUUGAUAUAAGAAGGGUAGUCAUUAGAUAUUAUUACUUAAUAUCUAUCAAUAAAUCUUAUUAAUAUCUAUCUCUUCCAUACUAUUUAUUACUAUCAUAGAUUUCCAAUUAAUAUUAUAUUUGAUUGAGAAUCUUAAUAUGUGCCAAAGUUUUGGAUGACGUUUUUUAAUAUUCCAAAAGUUGAUAUUAGUUAUAUUUGAAUUUUCCAUUAAUGUAAUGUAAAUUUGAUGUUACUCUGGUAUAUUUGAUGGUACAUUUAUGUAAUAGUUGUAAUGUACCAUCAAAUAUAUUAAAGUAACGCUUGUUGUUUUGCUCUUAUUAGUGUAGCACAAGGCAGCAUUCCUUCGUCUUCUUCUUCAUCUCGCAUUUGGUCUCGAUCCCAUUCGUUCGGUAUGCAGGGCGAGGAUGAGCCAGGCUUGCUGGAGCGGCAAGGACGGAUCCAUUCUUCUUCGUUGUCCUCGUCCUCGUAUCACCGUCUUCUUCCUUAGAUGCUGCUGCUGCGAGUGGGAAGCUUUUGUUUGCUAGUGUAAAUGGAGGUUCAUUCCCUCUCUUUCUCUCGCUUUAUAGUGUGUGGACUCCGUGCCAGAUUGGGAGGGCGAUGGAUGGCACUCUAGACCACCGCCGAGGAACAUUAGCUAUCGCUAGGUUCUCCACUUCACCACCUUCACCACGCUGCGGCAGCAGAGCAUCCGCUACGUCC
RNAcentral lists this long non-coding RNA (895 nucleotides) under Physcomitrium patens. RNAcentral describes it as "long non-coding RNA (PPAT_LNC011401)". Lineage: Eukaryota; Viridiplantae; Streptophyta; Bryopsida; Funariales; Funariaceae. The record is from RNAcentral.